RNAcentral lists this ribosomal RNA (915 nucleotides) under uncultured bacterium. Its description in RNAcentral is "bacterial SSU rRNA". It matches the Rfam family "Bacterial small subunit ribosomal RNA", at positions 10 to 915 of the family's 1533-position model. The record is from RNAcentral.
AGUUUGAUCCUGGCUCAGGAUGAACGCUAGCUACAGGCUUAACACAUGCAAGUCGAGGGGAAACGAUAUUGGAAGCUUGCUUCCGAUAGGCGUCGACCGGCGCACGGGUGAGUAACGCGUAUCCAACCUGCCCAUCACUUGGGGAUAACCUUGCGAAAGUAAGACUAAUACCCAAUGACGUCUCUAGAGGACAUCUGAAAGAGAUUAAAGAUUUAUCGGUGAUGGAUGGGGAUGCGUCUGAUUAGCUUGUUGGCGGGGUAACGGCCCACCAAGGCGACGAUCAGUAGGGGUUCUGAGAGGAAGGUCCCCCACAUUGGAACUGAGACACGGUCCAAACUCCUACGGGAGGCAGCAGUGAGGAAUAUUGGUCAAUGGGCGAGAGCCUGAACCAGCCAAGUAGCGUGCAGGAUGACGGCCCUAUGGGUUGUAAACUGCUUUUAUAAGGGAAUAAAGUGAGUCUCGUGAGACUUUUUGCAUGUACCUUAUGAAUAAGGACCGGCUAAUUCCGUGCCAGCAGCCGCGGUAAUACGGAAGGUCCGGGCGUUAUCCGGAUUUAUUGGGUUUAAAGGGAGCGUAGGCCGGAGAUUAAGCGUGUUGUGAAAUGUAGACGCUCAACGUCUGCACUGCAGCGCGAACUGGUUUCCUUGAGUACGCACAAAGUGGGCGGAAUUCGUGGUGUAGCGGUGAAAUGCUUAGAUAUCACGAAGAACUCCGAUUGCGAAGGCAGCUCACUGGAGCGCAACUGACGCUGAAGCUCGAAAGUGCGGGUAUCGAACAGGAUUAGAUACCCUGGUAGUCCGCACGGUAAACGAUGGAUGCCCGCUGUUGGUCUGAAUAGGUCAGCGGCCAAGCGAAAGCAUUAAGCAUCCCACCUGGGGAGUACGCCGGCAACGGUGAAACUCAAAGGAAUUGACG